This 587-nucleotide long non-coding RNA is filed under the name Homo sapiens (human). RNAcentral's name for it is "non-protein coding lnc-CD46-5:2". The record is from RNAcentral. Lineage: Eukaryota; Metazoa; Chordata; Mammalia; Primates; Hominidae.
GGAGGCCGCUCGGCUGCCUGUCCUGCGCCCAGCUCAGCCCGGACCCAUCGGCCACCUUAAGUAGCCAAGGGGGCAAGGAAAAUGCUGCCAGGGCCCGGGAAUUCGAGUCGGGCCUUGCGAGCCCAGCUGGCUUGGCCCCCGGGGGAAUAGAAGGUCUAGCGUUGGGGUUAGGGGGGAGCUCAGAACACAGGAAGAGUGGGUGAGGGCAGUAGGGACAGGGAAUCCCCCCCAUUCGCAUCACCUGUCACCGCACACAUCCUGCACACCUCCCUCUUCAUCUGUAAUUUGAGUGAGGGGUGAGUGGGGAGGAACGGGGCUUGUCUGGUAGGGUUGAGACUAGAGUCUUGGAAUUUGUGGGAGCAAAUUUCCUCUUCUUGUAAAUUAAAAAAAGAAAAAGGCCAACAAGCUGUCAAAUAAGGCUUGAAGUUGUUGUUAUUAUUAUUAUUGCAAUGAGAAGAUGAACCUUGCUCUGAAUUGAAUCUCAAACUUCCAGCCCUGAUAGGGAUCCUGGGCAUCUGGUGAGAGGUUUCGGGAUUCUGGAUGACAAUGUCUCGGUGCCCUCAAGGCCACUGAUUCCUCGCCACACA